RNAcentral lists this long non-coding RNA (271 nucleotides) under Hordeum vulgare. Its description in RNAcentral is "long non-coding RNA (HVUL_LNC005893)". Lineage: Eukaryota; Viridiplantae; Streptophyta; Magnoliopsida; Poales; Poaceae. The record is from RNAcentral.
UUUUCUUUUUUCCUUUUUUCUGUUUCGUGUUUUCUUUUUCUUUUUGUUUCCUUUUUCUUUUUCCUGUUUCUUCUUUUAUUUUUCUUUUUUUCUUUUUUCUGUUUCCUGUUUUCUUUUUCUUUUUGUUUCCUUUUUCUUUUUCCUGUUUCUUCUUUUAUUUUUUCUUUUUCCUUUUUUCCGUUUCCUGUUUUCUUUUUCUUUUUGUUUCCUUUUUCUUUUUCCUGUUUCUUCUUUUAUUUUUAUUUUUUGUUUCCCUUUUCUGUUUUCUUUU